UACGUAGGGCGCAAGCGUUGUCCGGAAUCAUUGGGCGUAAAGCGCGCGUAGGUGGCUUCGUAAGUCCGUUGUGAAAGUCAAAGGCUCAACCUUUGAAUGCCGAUGGAUACUGCGAAGCUAGAGUACGGAAGAGGCGAGUGGAAUUCCUGGUGUAGCGGUGGAAUGCGCAGAUAUCAGGAGGAACACCAAUAGCGAAGGCAGCUCGCUGGGACGUUACUGACACUAAGGCGCGAGAGCGUGGGGAGCGAACAGG
This 253-nucleotide ribosomal RNA is filed under the name uncultured bacterium. Its description in RNAcentral is "partial 16S ribosomal RNA". It matches the Rfam family "Bacterial small subunit ribosomal RNA", at positions 524 to 776 of the family's 1533-position model. The record is from RNAcentral.